GCGAAGUGGUGCUUGCACCUUUCAAGUGAGUGGCGAACGGGUGAGUAACACGUGGACAACCUGCCUCAAGGCUGGGGAUAACAUUUGGAAACAGAUGCUAAUACCGAAUAAAACUUAGUGUCGCAUGACACAAAGUUAAAAGGCGCUUCGGCGUCACCUAGAGAUGGAUCCGCGGUGCAUUAGUUAGUUGGUGGGGUAAAGGCCUACCAAGACAAUGAUGCAUAGCCGAGUUGAGAGACUGAUCGGCCACAUUGGGACUGAGACACGGCCCAAACUCCUACGGGAGGCUGCAGUAGGGAAUCUUCCACAAUGGGCGAAAGCCUGAUGGAGCAACGCCGCGUGUGUGAUGAAGGCUUUCGGGUCGUAAAGCACUGUUGUAUGGGAAGAACAGCUAGAAUAGGAAAUGAUUUUAGUUUGACGGUACCAUACCAGAAAGGGACGGCUAAAUACGUGCCAGCAGCCGCGGUAAUACGUAUGUCCCGAGCGUUAUCCGGAUUUAUUGGGCGUAAAGCGAGCGCAGACGGUUUAUUAAGUCUGAUGUGAAAGCCCGGAGCUCAACUCCGGAAUGGCAUUGGAAACUGGUUAACUUGAGUGCAGUAGAGGUAAGUGGAACUCCAUGUGUAGCGGUGGAAUGCGUAGAUAUAUGGAAGAACACCAGUGGCGAAGGCGGCUUACUGGACUGCAACUGACGUUGAGGCUCGAAAGUGUGGGUAGCAAACAGGAUUAGAUACCCUGGUAGUCCACACCGUAAACGAUGAACACUAGGUGUUAGGAGGUUUCCGCCUCUUAGUGCCGAAGCUAACGCAUUAAGUGUUCCGCCUGGGGAGUACGACCGCAAGGUUGAAACUCAAAGGAAUUGACGGGGACCCGCACAAGCGGUGGAGCAUGUGGUUUAAUUCGAAGCAACGCGAAGAACCUUACCAGGUCUUGACAUCCUUUGAAGCUUUUAGAGAUAGAAGUGUUCUCUUCGGAGACAAAGUGACAGGUGGUGCAUGGUCGUCGUCAGCUCGUGUCGUGAGAUGUUGGGUUAAGUCCCGCAACGAGCGCAACCCUUAUUGUUAGUUGCCAGCAUUCAGAUGGGCACUCUAGCGAGACUGCCGGUGACAAACCGGAGGAAGGGGGGGGACAAAGUCCAGAUAUCAUGCCCCUUUUAACCGGGGGGACACCCUGGUUACAAGGGGGUAACAACAAGUUGCCACCCGCCGGGGGUGGGCAAUUCCUUAA
Molecule: ribosomal RNA, 1224 nt
Filed under: Leuconostoc mesenteroides
Lineage: Bacteria; Bacillati; Bacillota; Bacilli; Lactobacillales; Lactobacillaceae
Description: bacterial SSU rRNA
Rfam family: Bacterial small subunit ribosomal RNA
Source: RNAcentral